GACGAACGCUGGCGGCGUGCGUAAUACAUGCAAGUAGAACGCUGAGGUUUGGUGUUUACACUAGACUGAUGAGUUGCGAACGGGUGAGUAACGCGUAGGUAACCUGCCUCAUAGCGGGGGAUAACUAUUGGAAACGAUAGCUAAUACCGCAUAAGAGUAAUUAACACAUGUUAGUUAUUUAAAAGGAGCAAUUGCUUCACUGUGAGAUGGACCUGCGUUGUAUUAGCUAGUUGGUGAGGUAAAGGCUCACCAAGGCGACGAUACAUAGCCGACCUGAGAGGGUGAUCGGCCACACUGGGACUGAGACACGGCCCAGACUCCUACGGGAGGCAGCAGUAGGGAAUCUUCGGCAAUGGACGGAAGUCUGACCGAGCAACGCCGCGUGAGUGAAGAAGGUUUUCGGAUCGUAAAGCUCUGUUGUUAGAGAAGAACGUUGGUAGGAGUGGAAAAUCUACCAAGUGACGGUAACUAACCAGAAAGGGACGGCUAACUACGUGCCAGCAGCCGCGGUAAUACGUAGGUCCCGAGCGUUGUCCGGAUUUAUUGGGCGUAAAGCGAGCGCAGGCAGUUCUUUAAGUCUGAAGUUAAAGGCAGUGGCUUAACCAUUGUACGCUUUGGAAACUGGAGGACUUGAGUGCAGAAGGGGAGAGUGGAAUUCCAUGUGUAGCGGUGAAAUGCGUAGAUAUAUGGAGGAACACCGGUGGCGAAAGCGGCUCUCUGGUCUGUAACUGACGCUGAGGCUCGAAAGCGUGGGGAGCAAACAGG
RNAcentral lists this ribosomal RNA (765 nucleotides) under uncultured Streptococcus sp. RNAcentral's name for it is "bacterial SSU rRNA". It matches the Rfam family "Bacterial small subunit ribosomal RNA", at positions 28 to 776 of the family's 1533-position model. The record is from RNAcentral. Lineage: Bacteria; Bacillati; Bacillota; Bacilli; Lactobacillales; Streptococcaceae.